AUUGAACUGAAGUUGUAUUACUGUGAGAGAAAGGGGGCGGGGGAUGGCGAUGGGAGAGAGAAAGAGAUCUACGGACCCUCUGGAUGGCCGGAGCAGACACUACAGUCUUCACCAGAGGCAGCCCCAUAAAAAUGUCAUCGUCUCGGGCUCUCCCCGCAUUACAACACAAUGAUUUCUUUGGGGAGGAGAAAAAAAAACUAAGAUUUAUUUUGCAACCACACCUCCGCCUCCCUUGGAAGAGAAAUACUGACCAACAACAAGUUGUGAAUGAAAUGUCUGCAGAUCGGCCCCCCUCGCCCAGCCUGAGAACUUUCCAGACGGAAAGGCGCACACGUGCACACAGCACCAGCUGAGCCGAUUUGUGCUGCUCUCAGCAGCCACCGGGGAUGGAGGAACCGCUCAAGGAUCUCCAGAGUGCGAGCCUGGUUCGGGACAAAGUUGCCCAACCUAGUGGUGUGAGCCACGUAAGGAGCUGGGGAGAGGGGAGUCUGUCCCCAAGACAAUGACAGCAUCUAGGGCUCAGUGCCAGGCUCCCGGGAGAAGCAAACAAGCCAUGGCUUUAGGGAGGGGUGCAGGCUCAUUAGAGAGCCCACUGAAGUGUUACCACCAUGCAGAGAGGAGGGGUGAGAGGGCACGGCUCUCCUCUGCCAGUUUUUUUCUCUUGGGACGGGGAAGCAGUGCUGCUUGGAAAAUAGCAAACUCAAACCUUCCCCCCAAAUGCCAGAAAUGUUCCCGGGAGUCCAGGCCACAAGGACAGUGUGUGCAAUGGCUUGGACCAGGCCAGAGCUGUUCUCCCUCCCCUUAAACUAUGCAUAAAAAGGAGGUUCCCCCACAUGCUCCUCCUGGGAUCUUUCUGGGGUUAUCCCACAUGAACCCGCUUAGAUUGCCUUUGAGGAAACAGAGAAGUGAAGAUCCCCCAUCCACUCCCCAUUUUGGAAAAGUGGACAUCAAGGCCCAGAGAAGGGACAGGACCAGCCCAAUGACCAACAGAGUCACCAGUGACUCUGGGGCUAUGCCUAGGACUCUGUCUCCAGUCUACUGUUCAUUCCCAAGGACAAGCCCACAACACAGUAGCAGCACCUGCAGAUGGAAAGCCUUCGAUCUCAAUGUCACCUGUUUGCCGCUUUCUGCAUAAGUAAUGUCAUUGUUGGAAUGAGUUUAUGAUGGUCUCCAUCCCCAUUUCUAUGAGCUGUGAGCAAGACAUCUGCUGCAUAGCUCACGUGUGUUCAGGCCUCCCUGGACCAGCAGCUCUGACUCACACACGCACAGAACGGUAGAGUUUGAUCCUGUAUCAUAACCUGAGGAUUGAUUGAACUUAGACAAUGUAUUUUCCACUUGUGCUUAGCCCAGUGACCAGAAGAAGCCUCGAUAUUUUGAAAGCACAGCUGUAUUUCUAGAAAAGGCCUUCAAAGAGAUAACGCAGAUGGGAGCAUGCGCCUGGAAGGCCACCCUGCUGCACAGCACACUGACUGAGCAAGAACAAAGACCGUAAAUGAAGAAGGAUGUUUGCAUUCUGCUCCUCGCUUGCCUGAAAACAGGAAACUUUGGAGACCUGUUCUGGCAAGGUUUCCACCUCUUCCUCACCCCAAAGGUCUUGCCUUCCUCAAGCACCUGCGAGGAGAAGUCGUCACUAGUGGGGAAUUCCAGCAGGUGACCCAAUCGAGACAGCUGGGCAGGCUCCUGGAGCUGAUGGCUUGGGAAGGAGGGAGUCAGAAGUGGCAGGCCCAUGGAGGGCCUUCAACUCAUUGGAUGAAGCCCACCCUUAUUCCCAAGGAUAAUCUCCUUUACUCAAGGUCAACUGAUUGUUGAUGUUAAUGACAUCCACAAAAUGUCUUCACAGCAACGGGAUUGCUUCACAGUAAUGGGAUUGCUGGGUCAAAUGGUAAUUAUCCUUAUGAUUUUCUUAAUACCAUUGUCUUUUCUCUACCUUA
This is a long non-coding RNA of Homo sapiens (human), 1931 nucleotides long. Ensembl annotates it as long intergenic non-protein coding RNA 2003. NCBI's taxonomy places the organism in Eukaryota, Metazoa, Chordata, Mammalia, Primates, Hominidae. The record is from Ensembl.